GGGCAUGCUGUUACAGUGUAAGGACUCUGUCAUAGCAAUAUACUAGAAUAAAAAAUAUGUAAUUAUUUAUUGUAUUUAUGCACAUAAUUACUGGAAAGAGUUUCCAACUAAGGGAACAUCUUUUCCUGAGAAACUGGUAAUCAACUUUCUGGAAACUUUAUUCUCCCCUUGGAUGCCAAGAUGACGAAUAAGAAAUGGAAAAGUUAAAAUUGGCAUCUCAUAAUCAUAUUUAGAAUUGCAAGUUGACCAGCACAUAACCAAAGCUAUAAUACAUAUGUAAACAUGCUAACAUAUUUGAGAUUAAAUUUUAAGGAUUUUU
This 319-nucleotide unclassified non-coding RNA is filed under the name Hevea brasiliensis (rubber tree). The record is from RNAcentral. Lineage: Eukaryota; Viridiplantae; Streptophyta; Magnoliopsida; Malpighiales; Euphorbiaceae.